Molecule: long non-coding RNA, 387 nt
Filed under: Physcomitrium patens
Lineage: Eukaryota; Viridiplantae; Streptophyta; Bryopsida; Funariales; Funariaceae
Description: long non-coding RNA (PPAT_LNC006832)
Source: RNAcentral
GAUUUUGAGUUUUUGUGAAAGAGAUAUAGGUGUUCAAAGUUGAGGUGUCAAAUUUGUACCUAUUGUCACUCUUUGAAGCAUAACAUAUGCGUACAAAGAGCAAUGAAAGAUCGGUUAUUAGAGUUGGAGAGAACACUUUUUUUGCUACACUUUACAUAUAUUAUUUGAUGAAUUCUAAGUCUAGAUGAAGGAGUUAUAGGGCAUUGAAGACAGCACAUGUAAAUCAAAGGUAGUAAGUGAAUCAUUUUGUUGAUAGUAAUGGUUGGAGCCAUGUCUUGAGUUUCUGGACGAAUUUUGGCUCAAAUUUUCCAUAUAUGUGAGUUACUAGGUUAAGAAGCUAUAGAACAAAGUUUAAUGGUAUUUGAGUACUUAUUUUGUGAGAUAUGA